UUACUUCUGGCUUAGAGGUUAAAGCAUCUGCCUGCAAUGCAGGAGACCUGGGUUAGAUCCCUAGGUAGAGAA
Molecule: transfer RNA, 72 nt
Filed under: Ovis aries (sheep)
Lineage: Eukaryota; Metazoa; Chordata; Mammalia; Artiodactyla; Bovidae
Rfam family: tRNA
About the family: Transfer RNA (tRNA) molecules are approximately 80 nucleotides in length. Their secondary structure includes four short double-helical elements and three loops (D, anti-codon, and T loops).
Source: Rfam by way of RNAcentral